UCCAAUCGAACUCGGAGAUAGCUGGUUCUCCCCGAAAUAGCUUUAGGGCUAGCGUCGGAUAUGUGUAGUGGAGGUAGAGCACUGAAUGGGCUAGGGGGCAUAUCGCUUACCGAACCUUAUCAAACUCCGAAUGCCAUAUACAUUAAGUCCGGCAGUCAGACUACGAAUGAUAAGAUCCGUGGUCAAAAGGGAAACAGCCCAGACCGUCAGCUAAGGUCCCAAAGUGUAAGUUAAGUGGAAAAGGAUGUGGGAUUUCUAAGACAACUAGGAUGUUGGCUUAGAAGCAGCCACUCAUUUAAAGAGUGCGUAAUAGCUCACUAGUCGAGAGAUCCUGCGCCGAAAAUGUACCGGGGCUAAACUUACCACCGAAGCUACGGAUUUGCAAGUAAUUGCAAGUGGUAGGGGAGCGUCGUAAUCGGGCUGAAGUCGUACCGGAAGGAGCGGUGGACUGAUUACGAGUGAGAAUGUUGGCAUUAGUAGCGAGAUGUAGGUGAGAAUCCUACAGGCCGAAUAUCUAAGGUUUCCUCAGGAAGGCUCGUCCGCUGAGGGUUAGUCGGGACCUAAGCCGAGGCCGAAAGGCGUAGGCGAUGGACAAUCGGUUGAUAUUCCGAUACCACUACCAUCGUUAUUAUCGAGGGUGUGACGGAGAAGGAUAGUGUGUGCUAGCGAUUGGAAAUGCUAGUCUAAGCGUUUAGGGAGUUACGGUAGGCAAAUCCGCUGUAACAAUUCUGAGGCGUGAUGGGGAAGGUCAUUAAGACCGAAGUACAUGAUUCCAUGCUUCCAAGAAAAGCAUCUAGAGAGAGAAGUAGUGCCCGUACCGCAAACCGACACAGGUAGAUGAGGAGAGAAUCCUAAGGCCGGCGGAAGAAUUGCAGUUAAGGAACUAGGCAAAUUGACCCCGUAAGUUCGCGAGAAGGGGUGCCUGCGAGAGCAGGCCGCAGAGAAUAGGCCCAAGCAACUGUUUAGCAAAAACACAGGUCUCUGCUAAAGCGUAAGCUGAUGUAUAGGGGCUGACGCCUGCCCGGUGCUGGAAGGUUAAGGGGAACACUUAGCGCAAGCGAAGGUGUGAACUUAAGCCCCAGUAAACGGCGGCCGUAACUAUAACGGUCCUAAGGUAGCGAAAUUCCUUGUCAGGUAAGUUCUGACCCGCACGAAUGGCGUAAUGACUUGGGCACUGUCUCAACUGCAAAUCCGGCGAAGUUGUAGUGCGAGUGAAGAUGCUCGCUACCCGCGAUUGGACGGAAAGACCCCGUAGAGCUUUACUGUAGCUUAGCAUUGAAUUCCGGUAUUGUCUGUACAGGAUAGGUGGGAGACUGGGAAACUAGGGCGUCAGCCUUAGUGGAGUCAACCUUGGGAUACCACCCUGACAGUACUGGGGUUCUAACAGGACGCCAUGAAGCUGGUGACUGGACAUUGUUAGGUGGGCAGUUUGACUGGGGCGGUCGCCUCCUAAAAAGUAACGGAGGCGCCCAAAGGUUCCCUCAGAACGGUCGGAAAUCGUUCGUAGAGUGCAAAGGCAGAAGGGAGCCUGACUGCGAGACCCACAAGUCGAGCAGGGACGAAAGUCGGGCUUAGUGAUCCGGUGGUACCUCGUGGGAGGGCCAUCGCUCAACGGAUAAAAGCUACCUCGGGGAUAACAGGCUGAUCUCCCCCAAGAGUCCACAUCGACGGGGAGGUUUGGCAC
Molecule: ribosomal RNA, 1684 nt
Filed under: human gut metagenome
Description: bacterial LSU rRNA
Rfam family: Bacterial large subunit ribosomal RNA
Source: RNAcentral